RNAcentral lists this long non-coding RNA (2111 nucleotides) under Heterocephalus glaber (naked mole-rat). RNAcentral describes it as "lncRNA (ENSHGLG00000032693.1)". Lineage: Eukaryota; Metazoa; Chordata; Mammalia; Rodentia; Bathyergidae. The record is from RNAcentral.
GGAAAACGGCGCCGCGCCGAAUGGCUUCUGCUACUGACUCGUUCACCAGCGGCGGCUCAGCGGCUGUGGGGCUGCCGCGGUCGCCGCCGCUGAAGGUGCUGGCGGAGCAGCUGCAACGCGACGUGGAGGGCGCCCCAGGCGCAUGGCGGCUGUCGCGGGGAGGCGACGGGCCGCGCGCCCCUGGAGCUGGCGGCCGUGUGGAUGCAGGGCACCAUGGUGGAGGUGGGCCGCUGCGAGGCACGGCUGCGGGACCCGAGCGGGGCCUUCUCUUGUGUGCGGCCUGGAGCGGGUGCCGCGAGGGCGGCUUUGUCUGGUCCCAGGUAACACCCGGCCUCAUCCCGCUCGCGAAGGCGGGCUCGGAUCCGGCCAGGGGGCUAAGGGUGAGUCGCGCUCAGGAACGGGGCCUGCCUGUCACCUUCGGCCUCCCCACAAACACAGGUGGCCCCACGCGAUGGGUGUGGGCGUCACCCGCAGCCCCUAAAGAGAGACACGGAUUCCUGGGACUCGGCAGGCCCCCUAGUCCUGAUCCCAGGCCUUCUGUGUUUGUCACAAGCUCCCCUCCCCACGGUUUUCAUUUUUUCUCAUUAAGUUUUGGGAAAUACUGCCCUAGGAGACGCCUAUACAUCUUUAAUAUCCCAACUAAAGCACACCUUCCUUGGGGGAAGCUGCUGGGACCCCCGAGAAAGGGGGACCCUCCUGUCCCUGUCCUUUGAGACACUGUCCUAAUUCACUCAUGCCUCUCCUGCACACAGCUGGUCCUGAAUGAGACCUAAGCACAUCAGGCUCACCUGGGGGACAUGGAAAAGCCCAGGGUUUCUGUGUCUAAAGUGGAGGGGAGGCUGAGAGGGUGUGUUUCCAGUCAGCUCCAGUCACGGUCUUGGCUGUGUGGUUCUCACAGCAGCAACUCAGCAUCUGGCCCCGUGCCUGACUCAUAGACCUCCAAGAACCAGUGACAGCACUGGGCAUCAGGAUCUCAUCUCACUCAUUCGCUGAUUGCCAGCGUCACUUGUGCAGUAGGCCUGUGUGAGGCACCUGGGCUGCAGCCAACACCCAGAGAGGAAAGUAUGUGAUGGUGAUGGGAGUGGUGCAGGCCUUGUAGCCCCGAGCCGUGCCUUCAAGCUGUGAAGAUGACAGAUCUUUCCGAUAAUCCCGUCCACGAAAGCAUGUGGGAACUGGAAGUGGAGGAUUUACACAGGAACAUUCCUUAGGUGACACUGGAACUGGCAUUACAAACAACCUUCCCCCCGUAAUGAUCUCAGUUCUGACUGUGUGGGUUCAUGGACAUCUCUCAUGUAUAUUUUAUUGACAUUGUGUAUUUCUCAAAAGAGCCACAGAGAGAACUGCUUUGGUUGACGCAGGGGUCUGGAUGCAGGGAUUUUUAAGGGUUAGGAGGCUGCAGUUAACUCGGCCUCCACUGUCUCUUGCUUUGACUGUGUUUGCUAAUGAAAAGCAGAUGCUGGGAUUACAAACGUACACCACCAUGCCGGGCACAUUCAGCUCUCUUUGUGCUUCAGAUCCCACCCAGAUAUUGAGGAUCCAUUUCGGUUAGCUAGCUUCCUUCACAGGGCAGGGGGCAGUUUUAGAUGUUGUCAGAAUUUCUCUUUGAAAUUAAAAAACCGAGAAUGAGAACAACUUUCAUUACUUUACCUAAACUUCUGUUUCAUAACUGUCAAGACACAGCAAGGAAGCAAUCUCCUGGUUUAGAGUUCUUACAUCUUUUUGUAUGGAAUGAAUUGUGUUAUGAUUGUAUUGAAUGUUGGAUUUCUGUUCCCUAUUUCUUUAUUACACAUGCUGGAUUUAUCGUUAGAGUAUAAAUACCAAGGAAGUCAUACUGUAUUCCAACAUUGCAGUAGAGUUUUGCCUGAAUUAUUGAUACUGUACCACUAAUAAAAUUUUAUGUGCUGUAUUUUUUAUUUUUUAUUUUUAUUUUUUUUUUUAUUUUAUUUUAUUGGUACCAGGGAUCGAACUAUGUGCUGUAUUUUUUAAAAAUAAACUUUAUCUUUAAAAACAGUUUUGGGUUUGCAGAAAAAUCAAGCAGAAAGUAUAUAUACGUUUCCAUAUGCCCCACACUGUCCUCCCCAGCUUCUAUUAUUAACAUCCGUUAGUGUGAC